GUAGACCAACUAUUCCUAGCAUGACUGUCACUCGUUUGGCUUUAUCCAUGUCUUUAUGCAAAAAAGCACAAGAUAGGCAUUUCUGGGCUAAAUGCCAAAGGCAGCAACUCAUUUUUUCAUCCCCCAGAUGCAGGUACUUCAUAUAAUUUCUUAUUUUUACCAUUUUCAAAAUUAAUCCAAACAAGUCACUAAAAAAUUCCAAAAUAG
Molecule: unclassified non-coding RNA, 207 nt
Filed under: Hevea brasiliensis (rubber tree)
Lineage: Eukaryota; Viridiplantae; Streptophyta; Magnoliopsida; Malpighiales; Euphorbiaceae
Source: RNAcentral